RNAcentral lists this small RNA (2340 nucleotides) under Arabidopsis thaliana (thale cress). Its description in RNAcentral is "ATSL068300". Lineage: Eukaryota; Viridiplantae; Streptophyta; Magnoliopsida; Brassicales; Brassicaceae. The record is from RNAcentral.
UAAAUAAUUAUAUCUAUAUUAAAGGGCUCUUAUUUUUUUUUUGAGAAUAUUACACUGUAAAACACUUUUUAAAAAACAUUUCCGUGGUUAGACACUUUCUAAAAAGAAGGCACUUUGAAUGUAUAAUUUGACCAAUUUACCCUCUAACCAUAUAUCGCUUUAUCUCUCUCAUCCACCUAUUCUUUCAAAAAAUAAACAAAACUCAAGCCAAAAAAAUAUAUUUAUACCUUUUUCUUUCUUUCCUUUUCAACAAAUCAUCAGCUUUUAUGAGAAAGAGAGAUUGAGAUUCACCUUCUUUAAUUUUUCGCGUGUGCUUUGAUCUGACUUGAAGGAAAAAAAUUUCAGACCAUCAAUUUGAGAAUCUGUCCUAUCUGGCUGAUUUAGUUACAUGACUCGUUGAAUGCUUGAAUUGGAUUUACAGUUUGGUUUUCGUUUUAUGUUUUUGCUGUUUGUUGCAAAAUUAAUCUCAUUACUUGCUCUUUGAUUCUUUGUCUUGCUUUUCCAAUUUCAUAUUCGAGAUUAUUCUCUUGAAUUGGAGAUUAAAGCCUCGUAGUGGACUUCGAAUCGUUUGAUAGUAAUGGUCGAAUCACUAGUUGAUGGAACUCGUUGCUUAGUUCAUGUUCUGUGAAUUUGAUUCAUGAUUAUAUUUGGGUUGUAUCUUUUCAGAAAAUCUGGUUAUUUUAUGUGUUCAUCAUAAACGGUUUAUAAGUUUUUUGAUGGUUGAUUCACUUAGUGAAGAACCUUGUUGCUAGUUCUCGUUAUGUGAAAUUGAUAGAGGUUUUAGCUUAGAUCUGAAAUUAAUUUUCAUUCACAUAUGUUAGAUUGAAUUCUACAUUUGUGUUUAAGAUAUAGAUGUUAAAAAUUUGGUGCAAAAUCGAGAAGAUUAUCUUAACACAGUUAAAUGAACAGACCUCAGUGGACAACAAUUUCUGGACAACGAUUUCUGGACACGUUCUUCUUUACCUUUUUAUCUCAAAAUCCAAUCGAGAAGAUCAUCUUAACAGAGUUAAAUGAACAAACCUAUGUGGACAACAACUUCUCGACACGUUCUUCCCUUGAAUUUGUGAUCAUUUAUGUUAUAUUUUGAGAUGUUUUGUAUAUAAAAUCAAACUUGGACUUGUAUUUUAAAACUUCAAAAUCAAAUUGAGAAGAUCAUCUUAACAGAGUUAAAUGAACAGACCUUUGUGGACAACACUUUCUGGACACGUUCUUCUUUACCGUUUUAUCUCAAAAUCCAAUCAAGAAGAUCAUCUUAACAGAGUUAAAUGAACAUACCUAUGUGGACAACGACUUGUGGACACGUUCUUCCCUUGAAUUUGUGAUCAUUUAUGUUAUAUUUUGAGUGUCUAUAUACAAGUGAACUAAUGUGUUGAAUAAGCAAAAAAAACAGAUGAUUUGUUUUGACCAACUUGUGAUUCUUGCAUCACCAAUGACAUUCUUUUCAUUAAAAAAACAAUUGAUGAAAGCUCUACACAUGAACCAUUUGUGUUCCAGUGUUUGUCAUAUUUCUAUGUCAUGUUUCACCAUUACUCCAUAUGGUCAAGUCUAAGUGGACAAUUUAUCAUGGACUAAACUAUCAUUAACUAGUUCGGUUUUGUGUGUUGCUAUUUGAAAGCAAUGUCUACAGAUUGUUCUUGGGUUUUGGAGACAUCUAAGAUUAUUGGGUUCUACAGAAAUAAUUGGUGUUCAAAGCUUGGAUAGUUUGUCUCCAUGAUAACGUGUCCACGUAAACGUAACCAUGUGGAAAUAAGUGAUUCUCAUAAGCAAAAGAAUAUGCUUUUAAGGUUAGACGUUCAAUGAAACAUCAAUUUAUCAAGAAAGAAUCAAAUUGUACCAAACAAGGCGAUCAAAUGGAUAUGAAAUUUAAUACUGGAAUUUGCCAACUUGGGUUUUCCAUAAACUCUCAAAUGUUUGAUUUUGAUAAACUCUUAAAUGUUUGAUUUUGCAAGGAAAGAAAAAAAAGUAAUAAUGAGAAGAGAGAGAGAGAGCGCGAAAAGAAGAAGCGACGAAGAAGAAGGAAAAAAAAGGAACGUGGAGAGAUGAAACUUUUUUUUUAAUUAUAAUUUUUUAUUUUUUAGGGGCAAAUUGGUCAAAAGUUUAAUGAAAAAGUUGGAAAAGUGCCUCAUCCCUGACAAGUGUCUCAAAAGGAAUAAAAUUUUCUAAAAGUGCCUUAACGUGUCACAUUCCCUUUUUUUUUCUAUUUGUCCCAAUUUUCUAACGCCUGUAUAUAUGAACUAGUGGAAUUUCCUGCUUGAUAUAUAAAGAAGAAUUGUAAGUACAAAAAAGGUUUUCACAAACAUAAGCAGAUGCUAUCAGUCACAAAAACCUAACCUUAUAUGU